UUUCACCCAGACUGAGUUCUGUCAGGACUUGCUGCCUGUGAUUUGAAGGCAAUCUCAUAAGAUGAAAAGUCAACAUUGUAAAUCACUACUGCCUCCUAAAAUAAUAACUCAUUAAUCAGAAGGACGGAGAAGACAGUCCCCGGUGAAAACUGCAGCGUUCUGAUUGGAGUCCCGCCCUGCACAGGGAACCGGGAGGAAAGGAGUGGAGAACAAUCGCUUCCCAGCGUGGGGGCUCAAUCUUGCCGGGGUGACCUUGAUGGAACCUUUAAGCGUGAUGCUUACAGCUUAAAGUUCAGGGCAAAAUAAAGACUAGCUUUUAACUUCCAAAGGCUCACAGUCCAUACCUGUACGUCCCACUCUAAGAAUACCUGACCCCUCAGAUGGAGACUGACUGUGGAAAGCUGCACGUUUCCAGCAAUUAGGACCAAAAAAGAAGCGUCUUCUAUUUUGACCGUUUAAGGACAGUUGACAGGCGUGCGAAGAUGCUGCUGCAUAACCACACAGAGCACACACCAUGCAGAGUCCCUCCCCACCCCGUCCACACGUCUGCAGAGCGAGGAAUGACGCACAGAUGGAAGGCAUCCUGAGGAACAGCCACAUCUGUCCACUUCAGCUUUUACUGCAGGGUUUACGUCCUCCAUCGUGUUCCUCAGUCGGGCUCAGCAGUGCCAGGUCCUCUACAUGGGCUGUGGGAGCCCCUGAGAGAUGGACCUUGCCUCACAAGGCAAUUCAUCAGGGGAUGCUAAAUCAGUCUGAUGUGCACAAGUUAGACAAAUUAGACCAAAAGCCUCUGUGACAAUCUUAGGCUUCUGCUGUCUCAGCUGACCGCUUGGGUUUCUGUAGCCACUGCCUUGAACAUGGGUCUUUAAAAACAACCAAAACAAAAUCCUUUUACACAGGACGUGUGAUAGAUAGAGCAUUCCCAGUGAAAGUGCCAGGCCGGUCAAAGAAAACAUUUAAAAAUUAUGUUGUGAAACC
Meriones unguiculatus (Mongolian gerbil) is the source of this 978-nucleotide long non-coding RNA. RefSeq lists it as uncharacterized. The record is from RefSeq and is a predicted model, not a curated record. The transcript is spliced from 3 exons. NCBI's taxonomy places the organism in Eukaryota, Metazoa, Chordata, Mammalia, Rodentia, Muridae.